CCGGUUUGGAAAGCCCCGGGCUCAACCUGGGAACGGCAUCCGGAACUGUCAGGCUAGAGUGCAGGAGAGGAAGGUAGAAUUCCCGGUGUAGCGGUGAAAUGCGUAGAGAUCGGGAGGAAUACCAGUGGCGAAGGCGGCCUUCUGGACUGACACUGACACUGAGGUGCGAAAGCGUGGGUAGCAAACAGGAUUAGAUACCCUGGUAGUCCACGCCGUAAACGAUGUCGACCAGCCGUUGGGUGCCUAGCGCACUUUGUGGCGAAGUUAACGCGAUAAGUCGACCGCCUGGGGAGUACGGCCGCAAGGUUAAAACUCAAAUGAAUUGACGGGGGCCCGCACAAGCGGUGGAGCAUGUGGUUUAAUUCGAUGCAACGCGAAGAACCUUACCUACCCUUGACAUCGACAGAAGCCGAGAGAGAUCUUGGUGUGCCUUCGGGAACUGUCAGACAGGUGCUGCAUGGCUGUCGUCAGCUCGUGUUGUGAAAUGUUGGGUUAAGUCCCGUAACGAGCGCAACCCUUGUCCUUAUUUGCCAGCGCGUAAUGGCGGGAACUCUAAGGAGACUGCCGGUGACAAACCGGAGGAAGGUGGGGACGACGUCAAGUCAUCAUGGCCCUUACGGGUAGGGCUACACACGUGCUACAAUGGCCGGUACAAAGGGCAGCGAGCUCGCGAGAGUCAGCGAAUCCCUUAAAGCCGGUCUCAGUCCGGAUCGGAGUCUGCAACUCGACUCCGUGAAGUCGGAAUCGCUAGAAUCG
Molecule: ribosomal RNA, 756 nt
Filed under: uncultured bacterium
Lineage: Bacteria
Description: bacterial SSU rRNA
Rfam family: Bacterial small subunit ribosomal RNA
Source: RNAcentral